This is a ribosomal RNA of 395 nucleotides. It matches the Rfam family "Bacterial small subunit ribosomal RNA", at positions 794 to 1384 of the family's 1533-position model.
GCCUGGCCCUAAAUCUUGAUGCUCGAUCUUACCGGAGCAUCCGCCCGAGAACUACGAGCACUAACGCUUAAAACUCUAAGGACUUGGCGGUGCCCCAAACCCACCUAGAGGAGCCUGUUCUGUAAUCGAUGAUCCACGAUAUACCUGACCAUUCCUCGCCAGAUCAGCCUAUAUACCGCCGUCGCCAGCCCACCCAGCAUGAAGGCCCAACAGUGGACGCAAUAGCCUCACCCGCUAAUAAGACAGGUCAAGGUAUAGCCUAUGGAAUGGAAGCAAUGGGCUACAUUUUCUAAGUUAGAACAUAACGGCAAAGGGACAUGAAACUGUCUCUGGARGSAGGAUUUAGCAGUAAAGUGGGACAAUCGAGCCCUCUUUAAGCCGGCCCUGGAGCACGU